AUUUAUACGGCCCUUGAUGCAGCCCCUCAUCCUCUGUCUGAAACAAGCCUUUUUUGGACGGACCUCAGCCACACUGUUCACAUUAGUUUGGUUGCUCGUGGUUGUUCUCUCACGUGUUCCUGACGAGGCACGGCGCGUUGAUCCUUCCUCCUCGGCCCCCUCCACUUGGAGAAGAUGAUGAGUGAGACCUGAGAAGGAGAUCACCUGUUUAUCGUGUCUGUUGAAAGUUGGACAUGCGCAGUAUGGAACACACACGGCUCACUGGAGGGAACGUUACAGCUGCAAACGUAAGUGUAGAAAUGAUCAGCUCUCUGUCUCGCGAAGACCCGCGGGACCUUUUCCCAGGCCCAGAGAACUUCUUGCGACGAAAUGCGGUCUGGCGAAUCUGUCAUGGUGUUUCGGAAGAGGAAACUGUAGUCUCAAAAUCAACAAGCAGUUU
This is a long non-coding RNA of Gasterosteus aculeatus aculeatus (three-spined stickleback), 439 nucleotides long. Lineage: Eukaryota; Metazoa; Chordata; Actinopteri; Perciformes; Gasterosteidae. The record is from Ensembl.